CACCGCCCGGUCCUCCCACCUCUCCACUCUCUCGUUUCUGGCUCGACCCCGACGCCUCACUCUUCUUCUCGCCCGAGCGCUGCUCGCUGUCCCGGUCCGUCGCCUCCCCUCUCCGCACCCGAGGUGCUCCUCCGGCCGCGCCACCCUCGUCCCGCACGCGAGAGCUCGUCCAAGCUGCCGCCGCCCGCUCUCCUCCCAUCUCCUCGUCGCCCCUCCAUCGAGCUACGCCCCCGCCGGACUUCUGUGAUGCAGCACGCCGCGCCACUACACCCCUGCAAACCCUCGACGCGGCGGCCUCCUCUUCUUCGGCCCUGGCGCCGCCGGACCUUCCUCACCGGCCGCCGUGCUCCAUCUCGACCAUCUCCGCCCCGUCUCAAGGCAGUCCAGCGCGCGACCCCUCCUCUGCUCUGUUCCGUGAGCGCGCCCGCGCGGCCUUCCCCGCAUCGAGCGCAGCCGGCUGACCUGGCACAUCACGCGGCCGCCCCUGGCCGUUGUGCCUCAAGUUCUCCGCGCCAUGGUCUUCCCCGCCAUAACCUCCUCAAGCUCGACCGCCUCCAGUUUUGUCGGCUGCAUCGUUCCUCUGCUCGUUUGGUAGUGGUGCCUCCAGUGCUACUGCCUUGUAUUCUCGGUGGUUUUGUUGAUAUAUGCUGUGAAAAUGCUAGAGCUCGUGUGAUGUGGUGAUUUUUUCCUGUUGAAGUUGGUGAUCUGCCGGUGUUGGUGAUGCGUGGUGCUGUGUGUGGGCUGAUGAGGUUGCUGCUACAACUCCACUCUGGUUUGGUGAUGUGAUGGUUGUGCUGAUGUGUUACCCGAGGCGACGCAAAAUAAUCUUCAAGAUCCUCCCCGAGAUGAAACCAAGUACGCUGCAACCAAGAUUGGCAUCAACGCCACUCGUAGACCAUCGCUGUCUAUUUCAUGUUCGCCAUCGACAACCGAAGCCGGAACCCCAAGUUCUUCCUCGCAGUUUCAAAGUCCGAGACCUCGCUUCAUCUUCUUCCUCUUCGAACCCGAAUCCGACGUCCGCUCUCCGAUCCGAUGCUCAUUUGCUUCUUCCCGGAUAGGAUCGCGAAGUGGUGUUGUGAGAUACGACGAGAUCUCCGGAUGUCCCUCGGCAAGCUUUAACAGGCAAGCAUUUCCCCUAUACUCCUGCCCCUGCAGAAGUCGCUCACCUAUUUUAUUUUGCCUUCUCCCUCAUGCUAUCCUUAAGUUGCAUUCUUGUCAUGUGUCCCUUCCACUUGUUACCUCAAGCAACCCAUAUUGCCACAACCACCUCCUACGGCUAUUGUUUGGUUAUCGGGUAUGCCUUGCGAGUCGUAGUGCAUGCUAGUGCUAUUUUAUCUCGUUACCGUUAUUAUUAUCUUAUCGGGUUAUAUGUUGGGAAGAAUCAUCGUUACUUUAGUUGUUGAUAAAUGUUUAGCGGAGGCAUCGGUGGGUCAGCUGAUCGUUUUGUGACGGCUCACUUGUGUUUCCUAAAUAUCUUAGGACCCCGAGUUCUUGUUAUCUAUUCCGAGACUGAGCGCUCUUAACCACACGUGGGUAUGCUUACCGGGUCUCCCCUUGACCACUACCAGAUUCUACAGCUUUGUCCAGUGGCCACAGUUAGUUUGAAUGCUUUGUUUCUCUCGGGCGUGCAAGCUUCUUUCUUUGUGGUCAGAUGAUAUGAUAUUACUUUUGGGGAAGCCGUGAGUGCCUUGUAACCCCGUUGUCUCUUGCACGCUCGUAGGUGCGGUCCGCAUUGUUAAGAGGUCAUCCUCUAGUGGGCUCUGAUCCUCUUAGCCGUUCUCGCAACAGCUAGGUCCGUCUCGGAGAGUCGGCCGGACUCUGAUUCGGGUUUAACUUAGUUAGGUGGCUUCCUGGACAUUGUUGUCGUGAAGGAGAGUGCGAGUCGUGAUAUCCACCUGUCGUAAGUGGGUUGAACGUGCGUGUGGGCACAUUUGGGCACCCCUGCAGGGUUACAAUCUUAUCGAUAAGCUGUGUCCGCGGUUAUGGACGACUUGGAGCUGUAUGACUCGACCAUAGACAACUUUCACCUGUAGUUUAUCAAAAAUAACUUGCGUAGUAAGUUAGCACAAAUUCAAUAAUAAGUGGUUAAAACUUGUCAACCGUGUGAGUGCCUUUAUAAGUACUUCCUUGCGAGGGGGGAACAAAUUGGUUGUGUUAUGUUCGAAGAGUAUAGAAAUGCUAGUUUAUGCGCUCUCUCACCUUCUCUGAUUAGCCGAAUGUUGUAGAGUGUCUCUAUAGGUUUUUAGUGCUUGGGCGCUGCCGCUUAACCCCACCAUAUUGCCUAUGACGUUCCUCUUGCGUCCUCUAAGUCCCUUGCGUGCCUCAAGUACAAAGGACGACUGGUUGACGAAUGCUUAUACGUCUUGAAGUCCUGUUAAGUACGAACUCGUACUUAUUACUGCUUCUACGGGACAUAACCGGGCAGGUAUGAAGAUAUGUUCGAAGAAGACGACGUUAGCAAGGUUACCCUUCCGGCUUGGCCUGGGCAGGGUUAUGGACGCCAUUGGUUAUCUUCAGGACUCUUAGUCCAAUUUGUAUCUUGUCCGUACUCGGAUGUAUUUGAUCUUCUGUAUGAUUUGGAUCUUUGUAUUGUCUAUUUGUAUCUUGACUCGUUGGAGUCGUUGUUGUAAUAUAUGUAUCUUGUGGGCUCUA
Long non-coding RNA from Lolium perenne, 2652 nucleotides. RefSeq lists it as uncharacterized. NCBI's taxonomy places the organism in Eukaryota, Viridiplantae, Streptophyta, Magnoliopsida, Poales, Poaceae. The record is from RefSeq and is a predicted model, not a curated record.